CAGUAUUACAGCUCUUUUAGAAUUUGUCUAGCAGGUUUUCUGGUCUCUACCAGAAGACUCUC
Molecule: small nuclear RNA, 62 nt
Organism: Otolemur garnettii (small-eared galago)
Lineage: Eukaryota; Metazoa; Chordata; Mammalia; Primates; Galagidae
Gene: U7
Rfam family: U7 small nuclear RNA
About the family: Animal histone pre-mRNAs are spliced by a different mechanism than nuclear pre-mRNAs and self-splicing introns. This processing involves the U7 snRNP, which contains only one RNA species: U7. The 5' end of U7 RNA is thought to base-pair to a conserved spacer element downstream of the cleavage site in histone pre-mRNA.
Source: Ensembl